GGAGGGGUCUCGAUGUCGGCUCGAUGCUUGUGCAGAGAGGCCCUUCCAUCCUUCAGUUAACGUUUCACGGUAUUAACUUACUGGUUUCGGGCUCUGAUAUUUUACCUUGAGAAAAUUAGAGUGUUUCAGGCAGGCUUGCGCCCGAAUACAUUAGCAUGGAAUAAUAGAAUAGGACUUUAGUCUCCUUUGUUGGUUUGAGGGACUGGAGUA
RNAcentral lists this ribosomal RNA (210 nucleotides) under uncultured fungus. Its description in RNAcentral is "partial small subunit ribosomal RNA". The stretch from base 52 to 210 matches the Rfam family "Eukaryotic small subunit ribosomal RNA", at positions 702 to 864 of the family's 1831-position model. The record is from RNAcentral. Lineage: Eukaryota; Fungi.